UGGCGAACGGGUGCGUAACACGUGAGCAACCUGCCCCGAAGACUGGGAUAACACCGGGAAACCGGUGCUAAUACCGGAUGUCCCCACUCCCUCGCAUGGGGGAAUGAGGAAAUGGAUUCCGCUUCGGGAGGGGCUCGCGGCCUAUCAGCUUGUUGGUGGGGUAACGGCCUACCAAGGCAUCGACGGGUAGCUGGUCUGAGAGGACGACCAGCCACACUGGGACUGAGACACGGCCCAG
Molecule: ribosomal RNA, 238 nt
Filed under: uncultured bacterium
Lineage: Bacteria
Description: partial 16S ribosomal RNA
Rfam family: Bacterial small subunit ribosomal RNA
Source: RNAcentral